This 503-nucleotide ribosomal RNA is filed under the name uncultured bacterium. RNAcentral's name for it is "partial 16S ribosomal RNA". It matches the Rfam family "Bacterial small subunit ribosomal RNA", at positions 29 to 523 of the family's 1533-position model. The record is from RNAcentral.
AACGAACGCUGGCGGCGUGUUUAAGACAUGCAAGUCGCACGGGAUAAGACAUGUAGUAAUACUUGUUUUAUUUAGUGGCGCACGGGUGAGUAACACGUGAAUUACAUGCCCUAUAGUGGGGAAUAGCCCAGGGAGACUUGGAUUAAUACCCCAUGGUAUCGAAAGAUUAAAGGUGGCCGCAAGGCUGUCGCUAUAGGAUUGGUUCGCGCCCUAUCAGCUUGUUGGUGAGGUAACGGCUCACCAAGGCGAUGACGGGUACCUGGUCUGAGAGGACGAUCAGGCACACUGGAACUGAGACACGGUCCAGACACCUACGGGUGGCAGCAGUCGAGAAUAAUUCACAAUGGGGGUAACCCUGAUGGUGCAACGCCGCGUGGAGGAUGACGGUCUUCGGAUUGUAAACUCCUGUCAUCUGGGAGAAAGACCUGACGGUAAAUAGCCGGCAGGGUUGAUAGUACCAGAAGAGGAAGGGACGGCUAACUUCGUGCCAGCCGCCGCCGUAA